Molecule: ribosomal RNA, 468 nt
Filed under: uncultured bacterium
Lineage: Bacteria
Description: partial 16S ribosomal RNA
Rfam family: Bacterial small subunit ribosomal RNA
Source: RNAcentral
GACGAACGCUGGCGGCGUGCUUAACACAUGCAAGUCGAACGGAAAGGCCCUGCUUUUGUGGGGUGCUCGAGUGGCGAACGGGUGAGUAACACGUGAGUAACCUGCCCUUGACUUUGGUAUAACUUCAGGAAACUGGGGCUAAUACCGGAUAGGAGCUCCUGCUGCAUGGUGGGGGUUGGAAAGUUUCGGCGGUUGGGGAUGGACUCGCGGCUUAUCAGCUUGUUGGUGGGGUAGUGGCUUACCAAGGCUUUGACGGGUAGCCGGCCUGAGAGGGUGACCGGCCAGAUUGGGACUGAGAUACGGCCCAGACUCCUACGGGAGGCAGCAGUGGGGAAUAUUGCACAAUGGGCGGAAGCCUGAUGCAGCAACGCCGCGUGCGGGAUGACGGCCUUCGGGUUGUAAACCGCUUUCGCCUGUGACGAAGCGUGAGUGACGGUAAUGGGUAAAGAAGCACCGGCUAACUACGUG